UCCCCUUCUCUACAUAUAAACCAAGCUCUCUCUCUCUCUCUCUCUCUCUCUCUCUCUCUCUCUCUUCUCAUGACCGGCCAUUGCCGCCACUGGCCGAUCUCCUCUUCCACAGCUCUGCAAGCCAAGUCCUUGCGCCAUCAUGUUUGCCUCGACGAGGUGAACCCAUUUUUCCCUUUUCCCCUCUCUUUUAGCCCCCACAACAAGCCACCACCGCCACUCCUUUUGUUGCCACGGUCGAGCUCUUGUCGUCGCCGUUUCGGCCUUCUCCUUCACUUUCUCCGCCAGCCACCGCACUCCCCGGAUGCUUUGUGCUCGGGAACACCACCCGCCGCCGGCGUCGCCAUCUUCCAGCCGCCGGAAAACCGGCGCCCCUCCUCUCCUUCUCCUCUGCUGCUCGUGCUGGAAAGAGGAGAAAAGAAGGAAGAGACGGGAGGAAGAAGGAGAAAAAGAAAAAGAAAAGAUACUGACAGAGUCUAUUUGGAGUUUUUGCCGAAGCUGGGAGUUCAAUCACAUAAGUUAGUUUCCUUUAAAACUAGUCUUCAAGUCUAGUAUAGUUAGACGGUUUAAUUCUAUAGUAAAACGGCAGAAUUGGGUCACAGUAUAGCUUCUGCUGUAAUAGUUAGCCACAAAUUUGUAAAUGUCCUAUUAUUUUAUAUAAAUAUAUCUCCUUUGGAGUCUUGACCAAAUGUAUGCGAUAAAGAUCCAGAUUGUUGAACCUGUAUCAAUCUACCGAUUCAGGGCUUGAUACAGUUAAAUAUGUCGGUUUCUGAAUCAUUAGUUUUGGGACCCAACACCUAGGCCCAAUUCCGCACCUGGGGUGCGACCACCUUGGACCUCCAUCCUAUUUAGAUUUACACGAUUAGUGGUUGGAACAUAUUAUUGUACGGGAAAUCUUGACAUUUAAACCUUUUAUAAAACUUAUUUUUCAAAUAAACCUUAAAAAACUACGUAUAUAAAAGUAGAUCCUGACAGAUGGCACUAACGGCAACUCUAAAGAAGUGGUGGGUUCCAUUUUACAACGUGAUGUACACCCUCCGUUUUAUAUUAUAAGUUGAUUUGAUUUUUUUUCUA
Non-coding RNA from Oryza sativa Japonica Group (Japanese rice), 1071 nucleotides. NCBI's taxonomy places the organism in Eukaryota, Viridiplantae, Streptophyta, Magnoliopsida, Poales, Poaceae. The record is from RefSeq and is a predicted model, not a curated record.